CUUGGAGGGUGUGCCCUUGACGCGUGGGUUCCGGAGCUAACUUCUUUUGUCGACCGCCUGGGGAGUACGGCCGCAAGGGUGAAACUCGAAUGAAUUGACGGGGGCCCGGACAUUCGGUGGAACAUGUGCUUUAAUUCCAUGCAACGCGAAGAACCUUACCUGGUCUUGACAUCCAAGGAAGUUUUCAUAUAUGAGAAUGUGCCGUCCUGAACCGGGAGACUCGUGCUGCAUGGCUGUCGUCAGCUCGUGUUGUGAAAUGUUGGGUUAGGUCCCGAUGCCAUGGCAACCCUUAUCCUUUGUUGCCAUUUAUCCGGCCGGGAACUCUUUGGAUACUGCCACUGAUCAACUGGAAGAAGGGGGGGAUGACGUCCUCUCAUCAUGGCCCUUACCACCAUUGCUACACACGUGCUACCAUGGCCCAUACAAAGACAAGCGACCUCUUCAGAACAAGCGGAUCUCAUAAAGUGCGUCUUACUCGGGAUUGGAGUCUGCAACUCGACUCCCUGAAUUCAGAAUCGCUAAUAAUCUGGUAUCACAAUGGCACGGUGAAUACGUUCCUC
Molecule: ribosomal RNA, 560 nt
Filed under: Escherichia coli
Lineage: Bacteria; Pseudomonadati; Pseudomonadota; Gammaproteobacteria; Enterobacterales; Enterobacteriaceae
Description: bacterial SSU rRNA
Rfam family: Bacterial small subunit ribosomal RNA
Source: RNAcentral